UGGCUCAGAUUGAACGCUGGCGGCAGGCUUAACACAUGCAAGUCGAGCGGGGGAAGGUAGCUUGCUACUGGACCUAGCGGCGGACGGGUGAGUAAUGCUUAGGAAUCUGCCUAUUAGUGGGGGACAACAUCUCGAAAGGGAUGCUAAUACCGCAUACGUCCUACGGGAGAAAGCAGGGGAUCUUCGGACCUUGCGCUAAUAGAUGAGCCUAAGUCGGAUUAGCUAGUUGGUGGGGUAAAGGCCUACCAAGGCGACGAUCUGUAGCGGGUCUGAGAGGAUGAUCCGCCACACUGGGACUGAGACACGGCCCAGACUCCUACGGGAGGCAGCAGUGGGGAAUAUUGGACAAUGGGGGGAACCCUGAUCCAGCCAUGCCGCGUGUGUGAAGAAGGCCUUAUGGUUGUAAAGCACUUUAAGCGAGGAGGAGGCUACUUUAGUUAAUACCUAGAGAUAGUGGACGUUACUCGCAGAAUAAGCACCGGCUAACUCUGUGCCAGCAGCCGCGGUAAUACAGAGGGUGCGAGCGUUAAUCGGAUUUACUGGGCGUAAAGCGUGCGUAGGCGGCUUAUUAAGUCGGAUGUGAAAUCCCCGAGCUUAACUUGGGAAAUUGCAUUCGAUACUGGUGAGCUAGAGUAUGGGAGAGGAUGGUAGAAUUCCAGGUGUAGCGGUGAAAUGCGUAGAGAUCUGGAGGAAUACCGAUGGCGAAGGCAGCCAUCUGGCCUAAUACUGACGCUGAGGUACGAAAGCAUGGGGAGCAAACAGGAUUAGAUACCCUGGUAGUCCAUGCCGUAAACGAUGUCUACUAGCCGUUGGGGCCUUUGAGGCUUUAGUGGCGCAGCUAACGC
This 845-nucleotide ribosomal RNA is filed under the name Acinetobacter baumannii. RNAcentral's name for it is "bacterial SSU rRNA". It matches the Rfam family "Bacterial small subunit ribosomal RNA", at positions 20 to 858 of the family's 1533-position model. Lineage: Bacteria; Pseudomonadati; Pseudomonadota; Gammaproteobacteria; Moraxellales; Moraxellaceae. The record is from RNAcentral.